UUUUUGGAUUCAUUUGCUUUGCUAGUUCACCAUAGUCUUUCUUUUAAUUACAUAGACUCCCUACUGUAAUCACUAAAUUUUUAUUUAUCAACUUUAUUAAUUAUAAUGCAUAUUGGUAGCUUGAACAGGUCUCAGAAUGUUCUGUCAUAGAUACUGCUUUUCAGAAUCAGGACAGAUCUACUCCUGGAGCCAUAUAUAGGAGCUGCCACAGAUUCAACCUUUGAAAACCUGAAAGUCCUCAGCUGUUCCUAUGCCCCAUUGCAGUGAGCAAACAGCUGUGUAGGGUUUAGCUGCCACCUGGGGUUAAACCACAACAUGGAGGAAAUACUUGCUUUCAGGCUUGCACAGGAUAUCAUUGUUUAUGGAAAACACUAUUAGAUUUAGCAAAGCCCUGCCAGGAGACAUUUAAUGCUGUCAUCGAUAUUCGCUCUACUGUCAGGAAUAUUACACUGAGAAGAAAGACCUGGCACACAGACUUUUCCUUGAAGCUUUGAUAGUACGUUGGCUGCAGCUUAACAGUGUAAAAAUAGUGUUGCACUGCAAGCAAAAACAGGGA
This 556-nucleotide long non-coding RNA is filed under the name Phasianus colchicus (ring-necked pheasant). RNAcentral describes it as "lncRNA (ENSPCLG00000001890.1)". Lineage: Eukaryota; Metazoa; Chordata; Aves; Galliformes; Phasianidae. The record is from RNAcentral.